UGAAACACCAGUCAUAGCUUCUA
Molecule: non-coding RNA, 23 nt
Filed under: Arabidopsis thaliana (thale cress)
Lineage: Eukaryota; Viridiplantae; Streptophyta; Magnoliopsida; Brassicales; Brassicaceae
Source: RNAcentral